RNAcentral lists this ribosomal RNA (456 nucleotides) under uncultured bacterium. Its description in RNAcentral is "bacterial SSU rRNA". It matches the Rfam family "Bacterial small subunit ribosomal RNA", at positions 28 to 507 of the family's 1533-position model. The record is from RNAcentral.
GACGAACGCUGGCGGCGUGCUUAACACAUGCAAGUCGAACGGGAGUAUUGAAGAAGCUUGCUUUAGAGAUACUUUAGUGGCGGACGGGUGAGUAACGCGUGAGGAGCUGUCCUAUGCAGGGGGACAACAGCUGGAAACGGCUGCUAAUACCCCAUAAGCCGAGAGGUAAAAGGAUCAAUCCGGCAGAGGAGGUACUCGCGUCCUAUCAGCUAGUAGGUGAGGUAACGGCUCACCUAGGCGAAGACGGGUAGCCGGCCUGAGAGGGCGAACGGCCACACUGGAACUGAGAUACGGUCCAGACUCCUACGGGAGGCAGCAGUGGGGAAUAUUGGGCAAUGGGGGAAACCCUGACCCAGCGACGCCGCGUGGGUGAAGAAAUCCUCCGGGAUGUAAAGCCCUGUUGUAUGGGAAGAGCGGAAGACGGUACCAUACGAGGAAGCCCCGGCAAACUACGUG